RNAcentral lists this ribosomal RNA (253 nucleotides) under uncultured bacterium. RNAcentral's name for it is "partial 16S ribosomal RNA". It matches the Rfam family "Bacterial small subunit ribosomal RNA", at positions 524 to 776 of the family's 1533-position model. The record is from RNAcentral.
UACGAAGGGUGCAAACGUUGCUCGGAAUCAUUGGGCGUAAAGCGCACGUAGGCGGCUCCGCAAGUCGGAUGUGAAAUCCCUCGGCUCAACCGAGGACGUGCAUCCGAAACUGCAGAGCUUGAGUAUGGAAGAGGGUCGCGGAAUCCCCGGUGUAGAGGUGAAAUUCGUAGAUAUCGGGGGGAACACCAGUGGCGAAGGCGGCGACCUGGGCCAAUACUGACGCUGAGGCGCGAAAGCUAGGGGAGCAAACAGG